UGAACAUACACAAGCAAAUAGCUGUCUAAAUCUAUAGUAAUACAUACACAACCAGAGCAAGAUAACAACAACUGAACGAACAAGUACUGGGAGGACGACCUGUACUGGGCAUGGACUUCUACUGGCCCCAAAAUUCCCAGACACCUACUGAAAACACUGCUCUGCAGUUCUAAGGCCUUGUUUAGUUGGCCAAUUUGGGAGAUGCAAAAUUACUGUGCUAGCACUGUAGCACACUGUAGCGUUUCGUUUGUAUUUAUGAAUUAUUGUCCAAAUAUUGACUAAUUAGGCUCAAAAGAUUCGUCUCGCAAAGUACAACAAAACUGUGCAAUUAGUUUUUAAUUUCGUCUACAUUUAGUACUCCAUGCAUGUACCGCAAGUUUGAUGUGAUGGGGAAUCUUCUUUUUGCAUAGUGUCAAAGUUGGGAGUUGGGGGUAACUAAACAUGGCCUAGGCCUUGUUUACUUCCAAGUUGUUGGGAGUUGCAAAAUUGGCAUUUUGCCAUAAAUGCGACACUGUAGCAUUUCGUUUGUAUUUGUGAAUUAUUGUUCAAAUAUUGACUAAUUAGGCUCAAAAGAUUCGUCUCGUAAAGUACAACAAAACUGUGCAAUUAGUUUUUGAUUUCGUCUACAUUUCGUACUCAUGCAUGUAUCGCAAGUUUGAUGUGAUGGGGAAUCUUCUUUUUGCAUAGUAUCAAAGUCGGGAGUUUGGAGUGAAGUAAACAAGGGCCUAAAUGAAUUGUUAUCACUGCCAAAGAAAUCAACUUAUCUCGAACCAGAGAAAGUACAGGACAUGAUCGUUACUGUCAUUAGAGUACUCAUUUGGUUAACAUAGCUUUCUCAAAUUAAACAAUCAUAGACAUGUAUGUUAGUAGCUGCACACGCACACAACACACAAACAUACAGUACGCAAUUGGUUAGCAAUAGCUUGCGCAAAUUAAACAAUAAUAGCCAUGUUAAAUUGAACGAGCAGGAGCAAAAAGUGAAGAAUCCCGUGCAGUCAAAUAGUC
RNAcentral lists this long non-coding RNA (1005 nucleotides) under Setaria italica (foxtail millet). RNAcentral describes it as "long non-coding RNA (SITA_LNC003480)". Lineage: Eukaryota; Viridiplantae; Streptophyta; Magnoliopsida; Poales; Poaceae. The record is from RNAcentral.